UACAGAGGAUGCAAGCGUUAUCCGGAAUGAUUGGGCGUAAAGCGUCUGUAGGUGGCUUUUUAAGUCCGCCGUCAAAUCCCAGGGCUCAACUCUGGACAGGCGGUGGAAACUACCAAGCUGGAGUACGGUAGGGGCAGAGGGAAUUUCCGGUGGAGCGGUGAAAUGCGUAGAGAUCGGAAAGAACACCAACGGCGAAGGCAGCAUCCUGGGAAGUUCCUGACGCUCGGGUGCGAAAGCCAGGGGAGCGAACGGG
Molecule: ribosomal RNA, 253 nt
Filed under: uncultured bacterium
Lineage: Bacteria
Description: partial 16S ribosomal RNA
Rfam family: Bacterial small subunit ribosomal RNA
Source: RNAcentral